RNAcentral lists this ribosomal RNA (258 nucleotides) under uncultured Staphylococcus sp. RNAcentral describes it as "partial 16S ribosomal RNA". It matches the Rfam family "Bacterial small subunit ribosomal RNA", at positions 103 to 355 of the family's 1533-position model. Lineage: Bacteria; Bacillati; Bacillota; Bacilli; Caryophanales; Staphylococcaceae. The record is from RNAcentral.
CGGGUGAGUAACACGUGGAUAACCUACCUAUAAGACUGGGAUAACUUCGGGAAACCGGAGCUAAUACCGGAUAAUAUAUUGAACCGCAUGGUUCAAUAGUGAAAGACGGUUUUGCUGUCACUUAUAGAUGGAUCCGCGCUGCAUUAGCUAGUUGGUAAGGUAACGGCUUACCAAGGCAACGAUGCGUAGCCGACCUGAGAGGGUGAUCGGCCACACUGGAACUGAGACACGGUCCAGACUCCUACGGAGGCAGCAGCC